This 773-nucleotide ribosomal RNA is filed under the name uncultured bacterium. RNAcentral's name for it is "bacterial SSU rRNA". It matches the Rfam family "Bacterial small subunit ribosomal RNA", at positions 8 to 798 of the family's 1533-position model. The record is from RNAcentral.
AGAGUUUGAUCAUGGCUCAGGACGAACGCUGGCGGCGUGCUUAACACAUGCAAGUCGAACGGAAAGGCCCUUCGGGGUACUCGAGUGGCGAACGGGUGAGUAACACGUGGGUGAUCUGCCCUGCACUUUGGGAUAAGCCUGGGAAACUGGGUCUAAUACCGAAUAGGACCACGCGCUUCAUGGUGUGUGGUGGAAAGCUUUUGCGGUGUGGGAUGGGCCCGCGGCCUAUCAGCUUGUUGGUGGGGUAAUGGCCUACCAAGGCGACGACGGGUAGCCGGCCUGAGAGGGUGACCGGCCACACUGGGACUGAGAUACGGCCCAGACUCCUACGGGAGGCAGCAGUGGGGAAUAUUGCACAAUGGGCGCAAGCCUGAUGCAGCGACGCCGCGUGAGGGAUGACGGCCUUCGGGUUGUAAACCUCUUUCAAUAGGGACGAAGCGCAAGUGACGGUACCUAUAGAAGAAGCACCGGCCAACUACGUGCCAGCAGCCGCGGUAAUACGUAGGGUGCGAGCGUUGUCCGGAAUUACUGGGCGUAAAGAGCUCGUAGGUGGUUUGUCGCGUUGUUCGUGAAAACUCACAGCUUAACUGUGGGCGUGCGGGCGGUACGGGCAGACUAGAGUACUGCAGGGGAGACUGGAAUUCCUGGUGUAGCGGUGGAAUGCGCAGAUAUCAGGAGGAACACCGGUGGCGAAGGCGGGUCUCUGGGCAGUAACUGACGCUGAGGAGCGAAAGCGUGGGGAGCGAACAGGAUUAGAUACCCUGGUAGUCCAA